GACGAACGCUGGCGGCGUGCUUAACACAUGCAAGUCGAACGGAAAGGCCCUGCUUUUGUGGGGUGCUCGAGUGGCGAACGGGUGAGUAACACGUGAGUAACCUGCCCUUGACUUUGGUAUAACUUCAGGAAACUGGGGCUAAUACCGGAUAGGAGCUCCUGCUGCAUGGUGGGGGUUGGAAAGUUUCGGCGGUUGGGGAUGGACUCGCGGCUUAUCAGCUUGUUGGUGGGGUAGUGGCUUACCAAGGCUUUGACGGGUAGCCGGCCUGAGAGGGUGACCGGCCACAAUGGGACUGAGAUACGGCCCAGACUCCUACGGGAGGCAGCAGUGGGGAAUAUUGCACAAUGGGCGGAAGCCUGAUGCAGCAACGCCGCGUGCGGGAUGACGGCCUUCGGGUUGUAAACCGCUUUCGCCUGUGACGAAGCGUGAGUGACGGUAAUGGGUAAAGAAGCACCGGCUAACUACGUG
RNAcentral lists this ribosomal RNA (468 nucleotides) under uncultured bacterium. RNAcentral describes it as "partial 16S ribosomal RNA". It matches the Rfam family "Bacterial small subunit ribosomal RNA", at positions 28 to 507 of the family's 1533-position model. The record is from RNAcentral.